CCUACGGGUGGCAGCAGUGGGGAAUAUUGGGCAAUGGGCGCAAGCCUGACCCAGCGACGCCGCGUGAGGGAAGACGGUCUUCGGAUUGUAAACCUCUUUCAGCAGGGAAGACAAAAGGACGGUACCUGCAGAAGAAGCCACGGCUAACUACGUGCCAGCAGCCGCGGUAAUACGUAGGUGGCAGGCGUUAUCCGGAAUUACUGGGUGUAACGGGUGUGUAGGCGGGGCUGUAAGUCAGAUGUGAAAAUUAUGGGCUCAACCCAUAACCUGCGUCUGAAACUGUAGGUCUUGAGAGUGUGAGAGGUAAACGGAAUGCGCGGUGUAGCGGUGAAAUGCGUAGAUAUCGGGAGGAACACCAGUGGCGAAGGCGGUUUACUGGACCACAACUGACGCUGAGACACGAAAGCGUGGGGAGCAAACAGGAUUAGAUACCCGUGUAGUC
RNAcentral lists this ribosomal RNA (442 nucleotides) under uncultured bacterium. Its description in RNAcentral is "partial 16S ribosomal RNA". It matches the Rfam family "Bacterial small subunit ribosomal RNA", at positions 338 to 795 of the family's 1533-position model. The record is from RNAcentral.